RNAcentral lists this ribosomal RNA (253 nucleotides) under uncultured bacterium. RNAcentral's name for it is "partial 16S ribosomal RNA". It matches the Rfam family "Bacterial small subunit ribosomal RNA", at positions 524 to 776 of the family's 1533-position model. The record is from RNAcentral.
GACAGAGGUGCCAAGCGUUAGGCGGAAUCACUGGGCUUAAAGCGUGUGUAGGCGGAUUUGUAAGUACCUUGUGAAAUCCCACGGCUCAACCGUGGAACUGCUCGGUAUGCUGCUUAUCUUGAGCCACUUAGGGGCUACCGGAACAAAUGGUGGAGCGGUGAAAUGCGUAGAUAUCAUUUGGAACGCCAAUGGUGAAAACAGGUAGCUGGGAGUGUGCUGACGCUGAGACACGAAAGCCAGGGGAGCGAACGGG